Molecule: long non-coding RNA, 685 nt
Filed under: Salmo salar (Atlantic salmon)
Lineage: Eukaryota; Metazoa; Chordata; Actinopteri; Salmoniformes; Salmonidae
Description: lncRNA (ENSSSAG00000122188.1)
Source: RNAcentral
GCAUGCUAUAUAUAGUGUAUCCAGUAGCCAUGCUAUAUAUAGUGUAGAGGCCAUGCUAUAUAUAGUGUAUCAAGUAGCCAUGCUAUAUAUAGUGUAGAGGCCAUGCUAUAUAUAGUGUAUCUAGUAGCCAUGCUUUAUAUAGUGUAGAGGCCAUACUAUAUAUAGUGUAUCUAGUAGCCAUGCUAUAUAUAGUGUAGAGGCCAUGCUAUAUAUAGUGUAGAGGCCAUGCUAUAUAUAGUGUAUCUAGUAGCCAUGCUAUAUAUAGUGAAUCUAGUAGCCAUGCUAUAUAUAGUGUAGAGGCCAUGCUAUAUAUAGUGUAUCUAGUAGCCAUGCUAUAUAUAGUGAAGAGGCCAUGCUAUAUAUAGUGUAUCUAGUAGCCAUGCUAUAUAUAGUGUAGAAGCCAUGCUAUAUAUAGUGUAUCUAGUAGCCAUGCUAUAUAUAGUGUAUCUAGUAGCCAUGCUAUAUAUAGUGUAGAGGCCAUGCUAUAUAUAGUGUAUCUAGUAGCCAUGCUAUAUAUAGUGUAUCUAGUAGCCAUGCUAUAUAUAGUGUAUCUAGUAGCCAUGCUAUAUAUAGUGUAUCCAGUAGCCAUGCUAUAUAUAGUGUAUAUAGUAGCCAUGCUAUAUAUAGUGUAUCUAGUAGCCAUGCUACAUAUAGUGUAUCUAGUAGCCAUGCUAUAUAUAGUGUU